Molecule: ribosomal RNA, 375 nt
Filed under: uncultured bacterium
Lineage: Bacteria
Description: partial 16S ribosomal RNA
Rfam family: Bacterial small subunit ribosomal RNA
Source: RNAcentral
CCUACGGGAGGCAGCAGUGAGGAAUAUUGGUCAAUGGGCGCGAGCCUGAACCAGCCAAGUAGCGUGAAGGAUGACUGCCCUACGGGUUGUAAACUUCUUUUAUACAGGAAUAACGCGACUCACGUGUACCUCUUUGCAUGUACUUUAUGAAUAAGGAUCGGCUAACUCCGUGCCAGCAGCCGCGGUAAUACGGAGGAUCCGAGCGUUAUCCGGAUUUAUUGGGUGUAAAGGGAGAGUAGAUGGGUUAGCAAGUCAGUUGUGAAAGUUUGGGGCUCAACCGUGAAAUUGCAAUUGAUACUGGCUGUCUUGAGUGCUGGUGAGGCAAGCGGAAUUCGGGGUGUAGCGGUGAAAUGCUUAGAUAUCACGAGGAACACC